CCCCUAGACGUUCUGGGCUGCACGCGCGCUACAAUAAUACGCUCAGCGAGUAUCACCGAGCUCGAAAGGGCAAGGUAAACAAUAGAAAAGGUACUGUAAUGGUUAUAGAUCCUUGUAAUUAUUGAUCUUCAACGAGGAAUUCCUAGUAAGUAUGUGUCAUCAUCACGCACUGAUUACGUCCCUGCCCUUUGUACACACCGCCCGUCGCUCCUACCGAUUGAGUGAGCCGAUGAAACUGCCGGAUGUGGACUAUUCAUAGUCUGCAGAAGAUAUUUGAAUCGUAGCGCUUAGAGGAAGGAGAAGUCGUAACA
Molecule: ribosomal RNA, 311 nt
Filed under: uncultured eukaryote
Lineage: Eukaryota
Description: partial 18S ribosomal RNA
Rfam family: Eukaryotic small subunit ribosomal RNA
Source: RNAcentral